AGUGGGGAAUAUUGGACAAUGGGGGAAACCCUGAUCCAGCCAUGCCGCGUGUGUGAAGAAGGCCUUCGGGUUGUAAAGCACUUUCAGUGGGGAGGAAAGGUUGAUGGUUAAUAGCCAUUAGCUGUGACGUUACCCACAGAAGAAGCACCGGCUAACUCCGUGCCAGCAGCCGCGGUAAUACGGAGGGUGCAAGCGUUAAUCGGAAUUACUGGGCGUAAAGCGUGCGCAGGCGGUCUGUUAAGCGAGAUGUGAAAGCCCCGGGCUCAACCUGGGAACUGCAUUUCGAACUGGCAGACUAGAGUCUUGUAGAGGGGGGUAGAAUUCCAGGUGUAGCGGUGAAAUGCGUAGAGAUCUGGAGGAAUACCGGUGGCGAAGGCGGCCCCCUGGACAAAGACUGACGCUCAUGCACGAAAGCGUGGGGAGCAAA
This 427-nucleotide ribosomal RNA is filed under the name Shewanella amazonensis. RNAcentral's name for it is "bacterial SSU rRNA". It matches the Rfam family "Bacterial small subunit ribosomal RNA", at positions 353 to 772 of the family's 1533-position model. The record is from RNAcentral. Lineage: Bacteria; Pseudomonadati; Pseudomonadota; Gammaproteobacteria; Alteromonadales; Shewanellaceae.